RNAcentral lists this ribosomal RNA (629 nucleotides) under uncultured Bacteroidales bacterium. Its description in RNAcentral is "bacterial SSU rRNA". It matches the Rfam family "Bacterial small subunit ribosomal RNA", at positions 87 to 714 of the family's 1533-position model. The record is from RNAcentral. Lineage: Bacteria; Pseudomonadati; Bacteroidota; Bacteroidia; Bacteroidales.
GAUGGCGACCGGCGCACGGGUGCGUAACGCGUAUCCAAUCUACCCAUGGCUCUGGGAUAGCCUUUCGAAAGAAAGAUUAAUACCGGAUGGUUUGUUAUUACGGCAUCGUGAUUACAAUAAAGAUUUAUCGGCGAUGGAUGAGGAUGCGACUGAUUAGUUAGUUGGUGAGGUAACGGCUCACCAAGGCUACGAUCAGUAGGGGUUCUGAGAGGAAGGUCCCCCACAUUGGAACUGAGACACGGUCCAAACUCCUACGGGAGGCAGCAGUGAGGAAUAUUGGUCAAUGGACGCAAGUCUGAACCAGCCAAGUAGCGUGAAGGAAGACUGCCCUAUGGGUUGUAAACUUCUUUUGUUUGGGAAUAAAGUAUUCUACGAGUUAGAGUUUUGUAUGUACCAUACGAAUAAGCAUCGGCUAAUUCCGUGCCAGCAGCCGCGGUAAUACGGAAGAUGCGAGCGUUAUCCGGAAUUAUUGGGUUUAAAGGGAGCGUAGGCGGACCUUUAAGUCAGCGGUAAAAUGUCGUCGCCCAACGUCGUCAUGCCGUUGAAACUGUUGGUCUUGAAUACACACAAGGAUGGUGGAAUUCGUUGUGUAGCGGUGAAAUGCUUAGAUAUGACGAAGAACUCCGAUU